Molecule: ribosomal RNA, 377 nt
Filed under: uncultured bacterium
Lineage: Bacteria
Description: bacterial SSU rRNA
Rfam family: Bacterial small subunit ribosomal RNA
Source: RNAcentral
UAAUACGUAGGGGGCAAGCGUUGUCCGGAUUUACUGGGCGUAAAGAGCGCGUAGGCGGAGAGUUAAGCGUGCCUUGAAAGCCCCCGGCUCAACCGGGGAAGGUGGGUGCGAACUGGCUUUCUUGAGGGCGAUAGAGGGGGGCGGAAUUCCUGGUGUAGCGGUGAAAUGCGUAGAGAUCAGGAGGAACACCCGUGGCGAAGGCGGCCCCCUGGGUCGGCCCUGACGCUGAGGCGCGAAAGCGUGGGGAGCGAACGGGAUUAGAUACCCCGGUAGUCCACGCCGUAAACGAUGGUCACUAGGUGUUUGUGGUAUCGACCCCGCAAGUGCCGCAGCUAACGCAAGAAGUGACCCGCCUGGGGAGUACGGCCGCAAGGUUG